Molecule: small nuclear RNA, 164 nt
Organism: Bos taurus (domestic cattle)
Lineage: Eukaryota; Metazoa; Chordata; Mammalia; Artiodactyla; Bovidae
Gene: U1
Rfam family: U1 spliceosomal RNA
About the family: U1 is a small nuclear RNA (snRNA) component of the spliceosome (involved in pre-mRNA splicing). Its 5' end forms complementary base pairs with the 5' splice junction, thus defining the 5' donor site of an intron.
Source: Ensembl
AUACUUAGCUGGCAGGGGAGAUACCAUGAUCACGAAGGUGGUUUUCCCAGGGCGAGGCUUAUCCAUUGCACUCCGGAUGUGCUGACCCCUGCGAUUUCCCCAAAUGUGGGAAACUCGACUGCAUAAUUUGUGGUAGUGGGGGACUGCGUUCGCGCUUUCCCCUG